CGUAGGGUGCGAGCGUUAAUCGGAAUUACUGGGCGUAAAGCGUGCGCAGGCGGCUUUGUAAGACAGAUGUGAAAUCCCCGGGCUCAACCUGGGAACUGCAUUUGUGACUGCAAGGCUAGAGUGCGUCAGAGGGAGGUGGAAUUCCGCGUGUAGCAGUGAAAUGCGUAGAGAUGCGGAGGAACACCGAUGGCGAAGGCAGCCUCCUGGGAUGACACUGACGCUCAUGCACGAAAGCGUGGGGAGCAA
Molecule: ribosomal RNA, 246 nt
Filed under: uncultured bacterium
Lineage: Bacteria
Description: partial 16S ribosomal RNA
Rfam family: Bacterial small subunit ribosomal RNA
Source: RNAcentral